Molecule: ribosomal RNA, 572 nt
Filed under: uncultured beta proteobacterium
Lineage: Bacteria; Pseudomonadati; Pseudomonadota; Betaproteobacteria
Description: bacterial SSU rRNA
Rfam family: Bacterial small subunit ribosomal RNA
Source: RNAcentral
UACCCUACGGGAGGCAGCAGUGGGGAAUUUUGGACAAUGGGCGCAAGCCUGAUCCAGCAAUGCCGCGUGAGUGAAGAAGGCCUUCGGGUUGUAAAGCUCUUUUGUCAGGGAAGAAACGGUAGAGGCUAAUAUCCUUUGCUAAUGACGGUACCUGAAGAAUAAGCACCGGCUAACUACGUGCCAGCAGCCGCGGUAAUACGUAGGGUGCAAGCGUUAAUCGGAAUUACUGGGCGUAAAGCGUGCGCAGGCGGUUUUGUAAGUCUGACGUGAAAUCCCCGGGCUCAACCUGGGAAUUGCGUUGGAGACUGCAAGGCUAGAAUCUGGCAGAGGGGGGUAGAAUUCCACGUGUAGCAGUGAAAUGCGUAGAGAUGUGGAGGAACACCGAUGGCGAAGGCAGCCCCCUGGGUCAAGAUUGACGCUCAUGCACGAAAGCGUGGGGAGCAAACAGGAUUAGAUACCCUGGUAGUCCACGCCCUAAACGAUUUCUAGGUGGUUGUCGGGUUUUAAUUAACUUGGUAACGCAGCUAACGCGUGAAGUAGACACGGCGAUGGGAAUACCCCCACAGCUCCAG